GCCUUCAGAUGAACAUGACAAAAGUGAUAUUAGCCAUUUAAUGCAGCUAUAUGAUUAAAAAACUCUUCAGGAUACCUAAACUUUCUUCGUUUAUUAUGAUCUUUAAUGUUUAACGCAGAGAGAGUGAAGUUAUUUUAUCUUUCUUGUGUGAGUUAUUGAUUAUUGAUGUGAUUGUCAGCCAACAGUCCCCCUAAAGUGAUCGUCCUGCCACCGUCCAGUGAAGAGAUUUCCACAAAGCAAGCAGCAACACUGAUGUGUGUGGCCAACAAGGGCUUCCCCUCAGACUGGAGUCUGAACUGGAAGGUGGACGGGAUCAGCAGCAGGUCUCAGUACAGCAGUGUUGCUCUCCUGGAGAAGGACGGUCUGUACAGCUGGAGCAGCAGUCUGACUCUCUCUGAGCAGGAGUGGAGCUCAGUGAUCUCAGUCAGCUGUGAGCUCACACAGAAAGACCAGCGUGAUAAAGUCACUGGAGAAUUGAGGAGAGAUCAGUGUUCACAGUAGAUCCACUCACUCUCUCCUCUGUCUCACAUCAAGACUAACAGACUAACUGUGUUUCUCUCUCUCAUCUCACAUCUCUUUUCACAAACAACACAAGUCUAUGUCUGCUUUAUUCAUUCACUCAUGAUUGUGUGACAAUUCAUCAAAUAAAAUCAGAUUGUAUCUUUA
Non-coding RNA from Misgurnus anguillicaudatus (oriental weatherfish), 666 nucleotides. NCBI's taxonomy places the organism in Eukaryota, Metazoa, Chordata, Actinopteri, Cypriniformes, Cobitidae. The record is from the annotation of a RefSeq genome assembly.